CACAGUGGUUUCUGAUAGGGCCUUCAGAGGAUAGCAGUUCAAAGAAUGCUUACCUGACAAAUGGAAUCCGAAGUUGGCAGAGGCCUGAAGACAAAGGCUACAUCAAAUACAUCUGGAAAUUUCACUGGUUCUACAUUUAAAAUAUCUUCAGAAUUCAGAAAGUUCUUCAGACAAAAGGAAUAUGAGACCAACCAUUAACUUUGAUAUACAUCAAGAAAUGAAGAACAUUAGAACUGGAAUCAAGCAAGCCAUCAAGAACAGAGCUUGGUCCUCUGUCUCCACACUUCCCUGGUUUUUGAGGUCCUGCACCGUCCUCUGCCACACACCUGUCCCUGCGUGCCGCUCUCGCCAGGUCUGUGUUCCCGGUCUCCAUUCCAGGUUCCUGCUUCACUUCUCCUUCUCAGGUUUUACUUUCCAUUUCCCUCCUGUUGCACUCUCCACACCCUCCUCUCACUAGCGAGACCUGUAGCGCUUUUUAAGAAAGCUGCAUUAUAUGUACUUCAUGUUUUGCAUGCAUUGAG
Long non-coding RNA from Neogale vison (American mink), 521 nucleotides. RefSeq lists it as uncharacterized. The transcript has 3 exons. NCBI's taxonomy places the organism in Eukaryota, Metazoa, Chordata, Mammalia, Carnivora, Mustelidae. The record is from RefSeq and is a predicted model, not a curated record.